This 497-nucleotide ribosomal RNA is filed under the name uncultured bacterium. RNAcentral describes it as "partial 16S ribosomal RNA". It matches the Rfam family "Bacterial small subunit ribosomal RNA", at positions 28 to 507 of the family's 1533-position model. The record is from RNAcentral.
GAUGAACGCUGGCGGCGUGCCUAAUACAUGCAAGUCGAGCGAACAGACGAGGAGCUUGCUCCUCUGACGUUAGCGGCGGACGGGUGAGUAACACGUGGAUAACCUACCUAUAAGACUGGGAUAACUUCGGGAAACCGGAGCUAAUACCGGAUAAUAUAUUGAACCGCAUGGUUCAAUAGUGAAAGACGGUUUUGCUGUCACUUAUAGAUGGAUCCGCGCCGCAUUAGCUAGUUGGUCAGGUAACGGCUUACCAAGGCAACUAUGCGUAGACGACCUGAGAGAGUGAUAGGCCACACUGGAACUGAGACACGGACAAGACGCCUAAGGGAGGCAGCAGUAGGGAAUCGUACGCAAUGGGCGAAAGCAUGACGGAGCAACGCCGCGUGAGUGAUGAAGGUCUUCGGAGCGUAAAACUCGGUUAUUAGGGAAGAACAAAUGUGUAAGUAACUAUGCACGUCUUGACGGUAACUAAUCAGAAAGCCACGGCUAACUACGUG